Molecule: long non-coding RNA, 373 nt
Filed under: Pan troglodytes (chimpanzee)
Lineage: Eukaryota; Metazoa; Chordata; Mammalia; Primates; Hominidae
Description: long non-coding RNA NONPTRT010773
Source: RNAcentral
ACGGGUAAUUGGAAUGAACUACAAGCAUUUUCACUGAGCUCAAAGAAACUGCAAGAAAAAAGAUCUUCGAUCUGCAUCCAAGUAUUUUUUUUUGUCUGAAAGAACACUGUGUGAGGAAUUUUGACAUUCUCUGCAUUCUAAUGAAAAUGACUUGGAAAGUAGAGGCUUAUCUAUACAUUUGCCUCAUUGCCGCCACGAUGAGCACCGUUUAUCAGGAAUAAAGAGAGAAGAUCCAGAAGGGUGACAGUGAUCCAGGAUGAAGGUCCUUUGACUAUACAUUUCAGCGUUCAAUUGAGGGAGCUGAUGACCAAGGCUGAAUUCCAAGGUAGCAGAGUUCCAGCUGAGGACUGGCCAGCGGUAACCUGGACCCCAG